GCUUGCUUCUCUUGAGAGCGGCGGACGGGUGAGUAAUGCCUAGGAAUCUGCCUGGUAGUGGGGGAUAACGUUCGGAAACGAACGCUAAUACCGCAUACGUCCUACGGGAGAAAGCAGGGGACCUUCGGGCCUUGCGCUAUCAGAUGAGCCUAGGUCGGAUUAGCUAGUUGGUGGGGUAAUGGCUCACCAAGGCGACGGUCCGUAACUGGUCUGAGAGGAUGAUCAGUCACACUGGAACUGAGACACGGUCCAGACUCCUACGGGAGGCAGCAGUGGGGAAUAUUGGACAAUGGGCGAAAGCCUGAUCCAGCCAUGCCGCGUGUGUGAAGAAGGUCUUCGGAUUGUAAAGCACUUUAAGUUGGGAGGAAGGGCAGUUGCCUAAUACGUAACUGUUUUGACGUUACCGACAGAACAAGCACCGGCUAACUCUGUGCCAGCAGCCGCGGUAAUACAGAGGGUGCAAGCGUUAAUCGGAAUUACUGGGCGUAAAGCGCGCGUAGGUGGUUUGUUAAGUUGGAUGUGAAAUCCCCGGGCUCAACCUGGGAACUGCAUUCAAAACUGACUGACUAGAGUAUGGUAGAGGGUGGUGGAAUUUCCUGUGUAGCGGUGAAAUGCGUAGAUAUAGGAAGGAACACCAGUGGCGAAGGCGACCACCUGGACUGAUACUGACACUGAGGUGCGAAAGCGUGGGGAGCAAAC
This 699-nucleotide ribosomal RNA is filed under the name uncultured bacterium. RNAcentral's name for it is "bacterial SSU rRNA". It matches the Rfam family "Bacterial small subunit ribosomal RNA", at positions 78 to 773 of the family's 1533-position model. The record is from RNAcentral.